GGGGGUGUAGCGCAGAGGUCGUCGCGCCUACACGUCAUGGGGGAGGACGCCGGUUCGAAUCCGGCCGCCCCCG
RNAcentral lists this transfer RNA (73 nucleotides) under Nocardiopsis changdeensis. RNAcentral's name for it is "Nocardiopsis sp. Mg02 tRNA-Met". It matches the Rfam family "tRNA". From Rfam's summary of the family: Transfer RNA (tRNA) molecules are approximately 80 nucleotides in length. The record is from RNAcentral. RNAcentral also lists the same sequence under 1 other name. Lineage: Bacteria; Bacillati; Actinomycetota; Actinomycetes; Streptosporangiales; Nocardiopsidaceae.